Molecule: ribosomal RNA, 254 nt
Filed under: uncultured bacterium
Lineage: Bacteria
Description: partial 16S ribosomal RNA
Rfam family: Bacterial small subunit ribosomal RNA
Source: RNAcentral
UACGUAGGGGGCGAGCGUUGUCCGGAUUUAUUGGGCGUAAAGAGCUCGUAGGCGGUUUAGCAAGUCGGGUGUGAAAACUCCGGGCUCAACUCGGAGACGCCACUCGAUACUGCUAUGACUCGAGUCCGGUAGGGGAGUGCGGAAUUCCUGGUGUAGCGGUGAAAUGCGCAGAUAUCAGGAGGAACACCGGUGGCGAAGGCGGCACUCUGGGCCGGAACUGACGCUGAGGAGCGAAAGCGUGGGGAGCGAACAGG